GCUUAGGUUAAGCCACUAAACCAGUGACCUUCAAAGCCACAAACAAGAGACAACACCUCUUAGCCCC
RNAcentral lists this transfer RNA (67 nucleotides) under Lerista praepedita. RNAcentral describes it as "tRNA-Trp". The record is from RNAcentral. Lineage: Eukaryota; Metazoa; Chordata; Lepidosauria; Squamata; Scincidae.